This is a long non-coding RNA of Triticum aestivum (bread wheat), 6103 nucleotides long. RefSeq lists it as uncharacterized. The transcript is spliced from 7 exons. The record is from RefSeq and is a predicted model, not a curated record. NCBI's taxonomy places the organism in Eukaryota, Viridiplantae, Streptophyta, Magnoliopsida, Poales, Poaceae.
CUGGGUCUCACGUAUGGGCGAGGAGAGUGCCCGAUUGGUUCAGAACCCUAACCUCCACCCCCACUCGCGCCCCUCUCCUUCGCUCCUGUCCUCCCCCGCCGCGCCGCCAUCUUCCCCGCACUCGUCGCCGCCGCUCCCGCGUGCUCCGCCUCCUCCCCUUCCCUCGUUCUCGUGCAGCCGCCGCGGCGCUCCCGCAUCUCCUCCCCUUCCUCUCCCAACGCCACGUUCGCGGAGGUGCUGCAGAUCCCCGCCGACCAGGCCGCGCUGGCGCUCGGGGCGCUCGCCGCCGUGCUCCCCGGUGACGACGACACCCCCGCAGCGGACGACGCGUCGGAGGCCGACCUCCACGCAAACCCUAGCGCAGCUCAAGGCGAAGCUCGUGGCGUUGGGGCCGGGCACGUGGGUGGCGCGGUGCUCGCGGAGGCGCUACAGAUCCCCGCCGAGCAGGUCGCGCUGGCGCUCGGGGUGCUCGCCGCCGUGCUCCCCGGCGACGACGACGACCCCGCAACGGACGGAGCUGGCGCCUCCCCGCCCCCAUCUAUCCACUCCGUCCAGUUCCUGCAGAAGCAUUCUAGAAUCAGCAACUGAAAUAGGCAAAGUUAGCAACUAGAAUCUGGGGUGGGAAAUAGGCAAAUACAGGAAGCAUAAUGGGGAGUUUGUCUUCGCGACAAUUAUGGAGCGGGUGCUCUGCUUCGAAUAUAUGCAUGGCGGAAGCCUUGAUAAACACAUUGAAGAUGAAGCUUGCGGGCUUGAGUGGCCCACAUGUUACAAGAUUAUUAAAGGGACUUGUGAGGGAAUAAAUUACCUUCACAACUCCCAGGAAAGGCAUAUUUACCAUCUGAACUUAAAGCCUGGUAAUAUUUUGCUGGAUAAAAGUAUGACCCCCAAGAUUGCAGAUCUUGGUUUGUCAAGACUUGUUGAUUCAAUAGAAACAGAUGAACCAGAUAUGCGCCAGGGAACACUGUAAGUUGAUGGAUGAUCAUACUCUGAGCCGUUCAUUUUUUCAAAGAUAUUCUGAAAAAAAAAUCCUUGUAUUUUUAACUAACUAUUAACCAUAUAAAUUAAGGUUAUCCCUUUAUGAGAUAUUCUGAAUAAACAGAUGAACCAUUUAUUUUAUCUCCUGCCAAAAUAAUGAGAUGAUCUAUAUUUAUGUCCCUUCUAUUUUAAUUAGAUAGUGUUAUCAGGGAUAUAUAGUUUUGGAAGUUCAAACUAGAUCUAUUCAUUAUUAUUAGUAGUUGAGCUGCUGAUUGUAACAAUAUGCUUACGUGAGUUUCAGACUAAGUGCUCUAAUAUUCAUUAUUAGUCAAAUUACUUACUAUUGAAAUGUCGUGGUUCUCUAUAUAUGUCAUCUCUCAUUGGAUGUCUGAAUUUAGACUCCGGCUGUAGGGUUGUUUGUGUUGUGUGGUAUGAAUUGCCUUUGUACUUCAAAAUGCAUGUAUCAAGUGUCGAUUUUCUAAUAAAACGAUCUGUAUAUCUGCAUUACAGUUGGAAUAUUCAUAUGUAUGGUUUCAUGCUUCCAAGAAUAACAAACACUAUGCACCCAGCUCUCUCUUUUGUGGCCACUAACCAUUCACUUUCUUUUGUUCCUACAACCUGCAUUGGCGUAAGUUUGAUUUUAUAUUGCCUACUUCAAGCACCGAUGGACCACCACAUGUUUGAAUUAUUUGUUUUUCAGAGAUUAUUUCUCUGGAUUUCCAUUUUUAUUGAUCAGAAGGCACGGGUGCAGGUAUCAACAAUUACAGUGUUGAGUGGUCGUAACCACCCACUUUUGUGCCCACAUUUUUCAAAAAUACUGCAAAGAUACAUUUGAUUUUAAUUAUGUUAAAAACAACGGUUUGGUCUGGACUAAGUACAAAGUACCAAAUUGACAUUUCCCCUUGGUUAUUUACUUACUGUACUGUGUCAGAUGGCAAUAAGUAGGUGAAUUAUAUGCUGGGUUGCAAAUUGUACUUCUAAGUAAGACCACAUGAACUGCUAAUCAGAUUAUCCGUGUAAUAAAAUCUUCUUUAAUCUAAGCUUCAAAGCUACAUGAACUACCAUAUUUUCUGAUUUGUUGGCUGCACUAAAAAUAGGGACAUGCUCUAAUAGUUAUUUGCAGUAGUACUGUUAGCCAAUUGAUACUAGGUGUGCAUGAAUAUUUGCCUUGCCAGUAUGAUUUGAUUCGGACGUGGAUGGGUCCUGUCUUUUAUUCUGCUUGUUUCUUCCCGUGUUCCUCAUCUUUCUGGAUGUGUCGCAGUUGGGACGGUGGCGUGCCGGAAGGGCUGUCUUGCGAGUUGACCGGAGUGGGAGUACACCAGAGAGGCUUCUGAGAUGGCUGAGGGAUCUGUCUAAGGUUUGCUGGUUGAUUUGUCCUGGCUGGGGUCUGCUUGUUCUCUUGGCUCCUGGGCUGUGCUGCUCGAAGUUGCUUCACUGGUUUCCUUGCAGGCACCCAAGCUUUUCUUCGCGCGAUGGCAUCAGGCACACGGAGGGAGCUCUUCUUCAUCGGUGCGAUGAACAAUGACCGUGAUCUCCGUUCCACACCGUCACCAGCUAGCAAGAUGAAGCAUUCUGUCACGGUUAGGCCGAAGGCUAUGCUUAGCGCCGUUCUUGCUGAAGAUGGUUUACCCGAGGUGAAGUACAAGACCUGCGCAUCCUACCGUGGCCGUGUGGCGGCUACUCCAUCACAGUCGCGUUCAUCUGCAGCGGCAGAGCAUAUGAGGAUCAAUGGCGACCCAGCUGUGGAUGCCAAUGGGCCAUGCAAAAUGCUGCUCCUCGGUGCGCUGCUCCUCGGUGCUUGGAGCAUCUUCAGGCCACCAUGGAUAUUGAAUUUGACUGCCCUCAAAUGCAGAAAAUUAAGACCGAGAUGAAGUACCUGUCGGGCAGUGUCGACGAGAAAGACAGGAAGAUCAGAGAUCUGAAGGCUAAGGCGGGUCAACGGGCUUACCAAGGGCUGGGGUCACUGGCAGAUUACCUGCUCGGAUCUGCAUAUGAUCAAGCUUUGCUUCCGACUGGUUCUUCAGUAGUUCGUUUUUUAUCAUAGCUGAAAAUGCAUUGCACCGUGUAUGCUUACUCUCCUAUGAUGCUUUCUACGCUCUUGUGUUAGGUAAGGGGCAGUACUUGCUUCGAUCAUUUUGAUUCUGAUUAGAUCUUUAUUUCCAUUUGACUUCCUGCUGUAUCUUCAUCUCCAUUUAACUUAUUGAUAUGGUUUUGUUUCAUUCUGUUUUAGCGUACUUACAAUUAAUAACUUUAUAAUCAACUCCUGACGUCACUAUUUCGUAGUUUGUUUUGUUUAGAACAACUUGACAUGCACCCUUUUACCUCACGCACUCAAGAUAUAAUAUUUAUCUUUAUUUAUAUAUACAACAACUUCAUGGAUGGGUGUUUGGAGGUUUCUGAGGCUGCAUUAUGAAUAGGUGAUAUUAAGCGAAUACCAGUAUUUUUAGGUGCAUUUUAUCGGCCAUCUAUUUACAGCUUCAGUUACUUCAUACGUUAGUCCCAUUUGAACACAUGGUGAUAAUAUCAUGCUUUCUUCUUAUCGUCGGAAUAGCAGCCUGGGUUACUGCUAACUUAACAUUACACGCUUGACCAAAACGUUCGGACCGGCACCCUCACGUCAAGGCGCGUACCCGAUCUAGUUGUAUUUGACCAUGGGUUCUAGCUUGGCAUCAGGGACAAACUACAGGGGGACAUCAAUCGCUCUCGCCUCUCGCUUAUCCACUUGUUAUGCAACUUGUGAUGAUUGGGCCCAAAGAGAGGCAUUGGCUAUAUGCCUAUAUGUACAUCAAUAAUGCUCCAGGUUCCACUCAAAAAAAAAAAAAAAACUCCAUGUUAGCCAGCCAUGUCGGCCAAGUGACUAUUGAUGAUAUCCUACAGGUAAUUCCGGUCAUUAUCAAGGUGGUUAGUGACACUGACACCAUAUCUGGUCCAGCAGCUAAACACAGCAGGUAGAAGAAGGAAAAAAAAGGUCUCUCUGGAUUAUUGUACUAGACUUGUUAAUUUGCGCCAUUAUGAGUUAGUAUUUUUGUAUAUCUUCACCUGUCUGUUCAUGUACUUAUUUACAUAAAAAAAUCCAUCUGGGUGUUUAUUAUAGAAUGAUAGAUGCAUGACACGGAUAAACAUUUGAGCUAUAAUACUGUAGAUAGUAGUAUUUCUCAGUUGUUUCAAUUCACGCAGCAGAGUAGUCAUCUUCGUUGCUAACACUAGAGAAAAAAAACUAGUUUUCUGUCCAAGUACUUAUGGAGAAGCGUUCGCUUGAAUUGCAGGUGGAACUGGCCACUCAGAUCAACAUAUAUCAUAAUCAACAGCCGACAUGCACACUCAACGCCGAAGACGACAAUUUUGGAGAAGCUAUGGCAAGCGUUGUUAAAAGUUAGGAAAAGAUGCUCAGUAUGGGAAGCUAUCAGCAAUAACAGUUGGAUAUCCAAAAUCAAACGACUGUCAGACCAUAGUUGCCAGAAAUUUGGGUCGAUCGGGUCGAGGAACGGGGUCGCGGGACGGGGAUCGCGACGUCUGAAAUCGAGGGUCGAAGAGGGCUACUCAUCUUCGGGACGGUAUUUUGGAUCGCGGUAUGCGACCCCGCUAAAACUGGGUCGAAAAAUUCGGGUCGAUCUUGUCGUUCCCUCAGGGAAAUAUUAGGAUAUGCGGUGAUACAUUCCUAAAUCCCCCAGAAUUUUCUCGUCUAAUAAAUGUUUCCAUUAAAUUGUCAUCAGGCUCAUAAAUCAGCUCACGGCUGCUUGGGCGUGAUUUUCUCAACUAUCUAUUUCUCUCAGACUUUCACACAAAGCGUUCUGCACUUCUGCACAAGAACUAUCCAUCUCCAGUCCCUCUAUCGCCUUCUUCGCUUCAUUGGCAAAGCUCUAGCGAACUAGUCCGCCAUGGAUCCAUCUCCAAUCCUCCACCCGUCCAGCACUCUCCACCCUCCAGCCUCGGAUUCUUAAGCGGGUCACUGGUCUCGUCGACGUAUGGCGCGAGCGUGACGGGAGAGGAUGAAUACGGCAACAGCUCCAUGGCCGGCCGACGGCAGGCAGGCUGGUAAGGCUCAAUUUUCUCACAAAUCUUCAUACAUAUUCUUCGCUUCUUCCAUACCAAUCUGGAUCGGCACCCAUCGAUCAGGGUCGCGACCCAUCCAGCGACCCAACUCGACCCUAGGUCGUUCCCGACCCUCGAUCUGGUCGAUCGACCCCGAGUCAGGGAUCGCACCCGUCGAUGCCCUGUAUAUAGCGGGAGCGGUUGCCCGGCGGGGGGGGGGGGGGCAUUUCAGCCCGCGCUUUUCCCCACCCACCGCCGCCUAUGAUUCUGGCCAUACCAGUCGUCAGGAUCACGCCGGCGGGCCGCCACACGCCCGAGAUUGUCCUCCACAACUUCCUCCUGCCUCGGACGGCCGGAAAGUUGCAGAUCGGCGGCUGUUUAUCGCGGCCGCCGGAUUUGGCGUUUUCUGCCACCGGCGGCUGCGCCAAGCCGUGGAUUGGUCAGGGAGCACCCCGCACAGCCCCGGCAAAGCCCCAACGCCCCAUGCUGGUACUGGUUCGUCCUCUAGCCGCCGUCGUCGGUUUGCCGGCAAGGACUCGGCCGGCCGUCGCCCGGGCUCAGCGCUUGCGCAGCGGCUCGCCGGCUCGCCAUGCCGCUCAUACAAUGCGACGACUGCACACAGACAGUGCUGCAGCUAACAUCUAGCACGCCGCAACACCCCAGAUGGGUAUUCUUCAAAUGCGAAAACGACGGGGAAGGUGGACGCUCAUUUUGGUAUUGGGAAGAAGAAUACAUCGAUUUAUUGAUAGGAAGAAACUUAAUAGAUGUUUGUGCACUCGUUGGUAGAACUGAGGCUAAUGAUGCGGCUGCAUGUGCAAUUAGAGAAGAAACUAUAGGGGAAGCAACGUCUACUUCUUUAGAAUCAAAAAAGAAGAAUGAAUAAUGCAAGAUUAAGAAUCUGUAGAUCAACAAUGAAGGCAUGAAGAAGAUGUUGGUCCAACUAGUGGGAGCAGUUAUGAAAGUUGGAUAUCUUCUAAAAUGCCUAAUUGUGGUUCUUGUUUUCUUUGGUCUUACUAUUCUAGCAAAGAUUUGGUGAAUUAUUAUGUAUCCAAUGCCCUUGAAGAAAAUAAAGAAGCAAAGAAAUGUGUUUUCAUGC